CUCAAUAAAACUUUUCCUGGGCUGGAUAGCAAAGGACACCUUUGGUUACCUGAAUGAACAGUUUUGGCCAGAAAUGGUGAGAAGAAAAAGCAUGAAGAAGCCGCGAAGUGUGGGGGAGAAAAAGGUGGAAGCGAAGAAACAGCUCCCGGAGCAAACUGUACAAAAACCUCGCCAAGAGUGUCGGGAGGCAGGACCGUUAUUCCUGCAGAGCAGGAGAGAGACGAGAGACCCUGAAACACGCGCCACCUAUCUUUGUGGGGAGGGAUAAUUGAAGCGCCCUGAGCGUACCAGAGCCAGAAAAAAAAAUGCUGCAUGGGAGCUGCAUCUUAGGGCAUGUGUAUUAGGGUGUGUGCAUGAUGAAUUUCUGGACUGGAUCCCAAUAUUAAAAAGUAGUUUGGCAUUUUAAUAAAGGGUCUCUAAGUAAAUUAAAAUAGAA
This 436-nucleotide long non-coding RNA is filed under the name Homo sapiens (human). RNAcentral's name for it is "ZEB2 antisense RNA 1". The stretch from base 1 to 61 matches the Rfam family "ZEB2 antisense RNA 1 conserved region 2". Lineage: Eukaryota; Metazoa; Chordata; Mammalia; Primates; Hominidae. The record is from RNAcentral.